Molecule: ribosomal RNA, 497 nt
Filed under: uncultured bacterium
Lineage: Bacteria
Description: partial 16S ribosomal RNA
Rfam family: Bacterial small subunit ribosomal RNA
Source: RNAcentral
GAUGAACGCUGGCGGCGUGCUUAAUACAUGCAAGUCGAGCGAACAGACGAGGCGUUUGCUCCUUUCACGUUCGCGGCGGACGGGUGAGUUACACGUAGGUAACCUACCUAUAAGACUGCGAUAACUUCGGGCCACCGGCGCCAAUCCCGGAUAAUAUUUAGACCAGCCUGGUUCGAUAGUGAAAGAUGGCUUUGCUAUCACUUAUCGAUGUACUUCGGUCGUAUUAGCUCGUUGGUAAGGUAACGGCGUACCAAGGCAACGAUGCGUAGCCGACCUGAGCGGGUGAUCGGCCACACUGGAACUGAGACACGGUGCGGAGGCCUACAGGAGGCAGCAGUAGAGAAGCGGCGACAAUGGGGGAAAGCCUGACGGAGCAACGCCGCGUGGGUGAUGAAAGGCUUCGGAUCGUAGAACUGUAUAAUUAGGGAGGAACAAACGAAUAAGUAGCAGUGCAGGGGUUGACGGUACCGAGUCAGAAAGCAACGGCUAACUACGUG